UUCUUAUGCCCUAUGUGGCAGAAGUUCACUGGUCAGUUUCCGUCGCCCCUCCAGCGUGUAGGAGUAGGACACGUGUUAACCAUUCUCAGCAUGGCUGUUUCAGCAGUGAUGGAGUCCAAAAGGCUCAAAAUAGUGCAAGAACACCACCUCCAAGACCAGCCUGGUACUAUUGUUCCAAUGUCGAUCUUUUGGCUUUUCCCACAGUUAGUUUUGAUAGGCAUUGGAGAAGCAUUUCAUUUUCCAGGACAAGUUGCAUUGUAUUAUCAAGAAUUUCCCAUGUCACUGCGAAGCACAUCGACGGCCAUGAUCUCAUUGAUUAUUGGGAUUGCAUAUUAUGUAAGCACAGGUGUGGUUAAUAUGGUCCAAAGGGUUACUGGAUGGUUACCAAACAAUCUAAACAAUGGGAAGCUGGACAAUGUUUAUUGGAUGCUAGCUGUGCUGGGGGUGAUAAACUUUGGCUAUUAUUUGGUGUGUGCUAAGUUGUACAAGUAUCAAAAUGUAAAGGGUGCAGAAGGUAGUCCUGAUCCAGAUAGCUAGUGAUAAGUGAUUAGAGUUGGUUGGUGAUUAAAGAAAUUAUCUGGGUCAUAAGACUUGGCGCAAACCGAGAACAGUGGCGUUGCCAACCCCACUUAAUUAGUGAAAUAAGGCUUUGUUGUUGUUGUUAUUGUAUAAGUUGUCUCAUAUGUCCCAGCUUUUACAAGUAUUGAGAUCGCAAUAAACAUAAUUUGAACCAAAGAGUGUCUUAUAUGCAAAACACAUAGUGAGAACUUCUCUCCUUCCAUGAGAGCCCUUCUCUCCUUCUAUGAGAGUUUCCUCCCUUCCUUUUGGUGAGGGUCUUCAUCUUGCCCACCUUCUCAGGCGCCGACUCUGGCUUUGGCUGGAGUCGGUUGCCACUCUUCUCUUCCUCCUCAUGUUUUCUCCUCUCCGCCCCUUCUCUGUCUUGUCCUCUUUCUUCUUCUUCUUCUUCUUCUUCUUCUUCUUCUUCUUCUUUUCCCUGAUCUCCUUUCCUAUCUGGCCAUUUUUCCUACCCCCAGCGGCGUUUCUCAUUGCUCCCCUCUGCUCCGAUUUGUAGCCGCUUCAAAACGCGUAUUAUUGCGGUUCUUCGAGAUGGUGUGUAGAGUUCGGGUGUUCAACACCACCACGUUCUCAUUGUCUCUACCUUUAUCGGCAGUGUUGUUCGUGGGUUGCCACAAACUUCAUCUUGAUAGUUGGCUUCUUCUGAUCACUUGUUGUCUACCCUUUCUUUGUGGUUGUGGUCGGGGCAUUAAUUCGAUGUGAGAUGUUGCAAUUGAUCUGGCGCUACUUGGCUGUGGACGAGGACUUGGUCGGAUCGAGAACUUACUGGUUGGCCUUUUGUAGUUUGUCUUUUUUGGUCCGUGUUUUACUUGCUUAUGUGUGUUGUUUGGGCCUUGGGUUUCCUUUUGUGUAUCUUUUCGUUGUAAUAAAUGUGAAGAAGCCUUUUUCCAAAAAAAAUAAUAAAAGAGUGUCUUAUAUGCAUUUAGACUAAAAAUUUUUAAAACAACUGAGGUCAAAAGAUUUUAUUUUUGCUUUUCCAAAAUGUAAUAGGGCAGUACAUUUAGUGCGUCUUUUGUUUCACGUGUGGAUAACCGUCAUAGAUGGGAAGAGAGGCUGGCUAUGGCGUUUGAAGCUAAUGUAAACAAUUUGAAUUCAUAUGAAAAGUGUCUUAUAUGCAAUUAAACUAAAUCGUUGUAUUAAAAAAAAGUCAAAUAACAUAUAAAUCUGAUAGUAUACACUAUUUACCAAAAAAGAAAAAAAUAAGACAUAUACAACCAACCUGCCUUUGUUUGUCUAACAAAAAACUUAUGAAAUUGAGAUUCUACCAUAAAACUAAUUGGCAAUAUAGGGAGUAACCCAAGAUCAUAUAAGCACAUAGCAAACUUUGUCCCUCACUAAUAUGGGACAACUCUCAACACGCCCCCACACGUGUGGCAGAUUUUCAAGCCUACACGUGGACAACACCUGGGUGAAGUGGAGCGCGUGUGGCCGUUAGACUUCACACGUACUUGGCUCUGAUACCAUGAUGAAAUUGAGGUUCCACCAUAAAACCAAUUGGCAAUAUGGGGAGUAGCUCAAGAUCAUAUAAGCAGAUAGCAAACAUUAUCCCUCACCGAUGUGGGACAACUCUCAACAAAAACUUCAUCUAGUCUAUACAACAAGCUAAUUUUGACCCUGGAUGCUUGAUGAAUUGUUAUCUAUUUUUCUUCAGACUAGAACAACAACAACAACAAAGCCUUUUCCCACUAAGUGGGGUCGGCUAUAUGAAUCCUAGAACGCCAUUGCGCUCGGUUUUGUGUCAUGUCCUCCGUUAGAUCCAAGUGCUCUAAGUCUUUUCUUAAGGUCUCUUCCAAAGUUUUCCUAGGUCUUCCUCUACCCCUUCGGCCCUGAACCUCUGUCCCGUGGUCACAUCUUCGAACCGGAGCGUCAGUAGGCCUUCUUUGCACAUAUCCAAACCAUCGUAACCGAUUUUCUCUCCUCUUUCCUUCAAUUUCGGCUACUCCUACAUUACCUCGGAUAUCCUCAUUCCUAAUCUUAUCCUUUCUCGUGUGCCCACACAUCCAACGAAGCAUCCUCAUCUCCAUUACACCUACGUGUUGAUGCUUCACCGCCCAACAUUCUAUGUCAUACAGCAUUGUCGACCUUAUUGUCGUCCUAUAAAAUUUUCUCUUGAGCUUCAGUGGCCUACGACGGUCACACAACACGCCGGAUUCACUCUUCCACUUCAUCCAUCCAGCUUGUAUUCUAUGGGUGAGAUCUCCAUUAAAUUCUCCGUUCUUUUGCAAGAUAGAUCCUAGGUAGCGAAAACGGUGGCUCUUUGGUAUUUCCUGAUCUCCGAUCCUCACCCCUAACUCAUUUUGGCCUCCGUUUGCGCUGAACUUGCACUCCAUAUAUUCUGUCUUUGAUCGGCUUAGGCGAAGACCUUUAGAUUCCAACACUUCUCUCCAAAGGUUAAGCUUCACGUUUACCCCUUCCUGCGUUUCAUCUAUCAACACUAUAUCGUUUGCGAAAAGCAUACACCAAAGAAUAUCAUCUUAAAUAUUAAGUUUGUGAUCUUCGCUAGAUUGCUCCGGUCAUUAGUGUGGAUAAGUAUGUAAAUGGAUAGAGACAGGAAGCAAACACAAAAUGUACGUGGUUCACCCAGAUUGGCUACGUCCACGGAGUAAAGGAGUUCUCAUUAAUUGUGAAGGAUUUACACAGUAUAUAGGUUCAAGCUCUCCUUUAGUGAGUACAAGUGAAUGAUUUAGUACAAAUGACAUUAGGAAAUAUUGUGGAAGAAUGAUCUCGUAAUCAUGAAACUUUUAAGUACCAAAGUGUGGUAUCGUCUUCACUUGCCUUAUCUGUCUCAUAGGUAGAUGUGGCAUCUUCUUUGGAAGUACUCUUCCUCCCUCCAGGGGUGGUAUCUUUAACUGGUGGAGAUGCACAAGGUAAUGUAUCAAUUUCACUUGACGCUUACUUGUAGUUUCAGGCUUGGUCAAGCGCGAUACAAACCAUGUAGUAGGAGUCCCCCAAGUCGCCGAGCUAGGGGAUCUGCUGAAAGAAGUGACAGACAAGGUAAGUAAUCAGAGCUCCAAGCAAUCAGUCCCAGAUCAGAAGUUUGAUUUCGAGUUCCGGCUGAUUGUUAUCCUUCUCCUUAUCUUGCAGGUAGCAUAAAGGAUAAAGAGAAGAAAAUGAGAAAAUGUGAUGUGAGAUACUUUUGCUUUUGAAGAAGUAACUUUCCACAGGCUUAUUCUUGAACUGGGCUGGAGGGUUUUCUUGUUUCCGCCAGAGUAUAAAGCCGACUGAAGAAUUUGAGGGUCAAAACAAGUCAUCAAAUUUAGAGUACGUUCGACCCUGCUGAUAUGGGAUACUUUUUCUGUUGACAAAGUAGUGGAUGUAUCGGCACGUGUUCUAUUGCGCUUGUCUCCACAUGCUUCCUUGUAUCCUUCUCACUUGCCCUAUUUGUUCCUCAGGCAGAUGUGGUAUCUUCUCGGGAAGCAUAAGAUGUUGAAGAUGAGUACUCGAGAGCAAUGGGGUUCUAGGCAGUCAGUUCCGGACUGGAAGCUUGAUUCCAAGUGCUGACUGAUUGCUCUAUUUCUCCUUGUCUUGCAGGUAAGAACAAGGCCAAAGGAAAAGACAGGGAAAAAGCAUGAUAUGGGAUACUCUUGCUUUUAACCCUGAUGAUAUGAGAUAUUCUUGCUCUGGUGUAGCUUGUUUGCAGAGGUAUUCUCGGGGGGAAAGAAAGCUGAGUAUUUCGAGAAGCGUCGUUGGGAGUGCCCUCUCAGAUAUGAGGAAGGGUUGAGCAUUUUUGCAGGUCUGCCUGUCCGUUGAGGAUGGAGGUCGACAUAUAUAGGAGUCUCCCUAACAAGAAGGAGUAAUACUAUUCUUUUACCCUGCUUGGUCAUAACACGGUAGUGGGAGCUGCCAGCUUCACGUGUUUUAACUCUGUCAGAACACUUUGAAAAAGUGGUCUGUGGUAUCUGGAAAGCUGAUGUUACGUGUGAAGAUUACAGACAAGCUUUAUCCAAGGAGAUCUGGCUCUCGAAGUUGAGAAAGCGAUGUAAGGAUUACAGACAAGCUUUAUCUAAAGGGCUCUCGAAGUUGAGAAAGCGGUGCCUCUUCGGUUUUCGAACAAGCAAUCCUGUCGGGGAUCUGUCUCUCGAGAUUCGGAGAACGGUGCAUCUUCAAUUUUUGAGAAAGCAAUCCUGCUAGGAGUCUGGCUCUCAAGAUUCGGAGAACGGUGUCUCGUCGCUUUUUGAGAAAGUAAUCAUGUUGGGAGUCUGGCUCUCGAGAUUCGGAGGACGGUGCCUCUUCGAUCUUGAAGCAAGCAAUCUUGUUGGGAGUGUUUUCUCGAAUGUGAGUAAAGGUUAGGCCUGUUUGCUAGUCUACCUUGCCACGGAGCACAGAGGUUGACACACAGGGACUUUCCAAUUAUCCAGCAGUGGUCAUGUUCCUUGACCCUUGUGGGUAAUAAUAUGGUAGCUAGACGCCUCUUCGAUUUUUGAGAAAGCAAUCCUGCUAGGAGUCUGGCUCUCAAGAUUCGGAGAGCGGUGUCUCGUCUCUUUUUUAGAAAGUAAUCAUGUUGGGAGUCUGGCUCUCGAGAUUCAGAGGACGGUGCCUCUUCGAUCUUGAAGCAAGCAAUCUUAUUGGGAGUGUUUUCUCGAAUGUGAGUAAAGGUUAGGCCUGUUUGCUAGUCUUGCCUAGUUGCUACUUGCCACGGAGCACAGAGGUUGACACACAGGGACUUUCCAAUUAUCCAGCAGUGGUCAUGUUCCUUUACCCUUGUGGGUAAUAAUAUGGUAGCUGGACGCCUCUUCGAUUUUUGAGAAAGCAAUCCUGCUAGGAGUCUGGCUCUCGAGAUUCGGAGAGCGGUGUCUCGUCGCUUUUUGAGAAAGUAAUCAUGUUGAGAGUCUAGCUCUCGAGAUUCGGAGGACGGUGCCUCUUCGAUCUUGAAGCAAACAAUCUUGUUGGGAGUGUUUUCUCGAAUGUGAGUAAAGGUUAGGCCUGUUUGCUAGUCUACCUUGCCACGGAGCACAGAUGUUGACACACAGGGACUUUCCAAUUAUCCAGCAGUGGUCCUGUUCCUUUACCCUUGUGGGUAAUAAUAUGGUAGCUAGACCUUCAAAAUUUAUGUGUCUAAACUUUGUUAGUGAUGUUUCUUUGCUAUUCUUUUACCCUUCUUGGUCAUAGCGAUGUAAUGGGAGCUGCAAGCUUCACGUGUCUAAACUUUGUCAGAGAUUUUUGGCAAAGUUAUCUGUGGUACCCGUGAGUUGAUGUUGCGUGUGGAAAGUGGAUGAUUGAACAGUAACAUUCACGUGCUUUCUACUUCACCAGAAAUCUUCGACAGAAUGCCUGUAAUUUCCGCAAAGUUGAGUGUGCAUGUGACAGGUGCUGACAAGGCUGAAAAAGCAGGUGCCUCUUCGAUUUCUGAGAUCGGCCCUCGUGGUCUUUGAGCAGCUUAGCUUUUGAGAAAGCAAGCGCCUGUUCGAUUUCUGCGAUCGACCUUCGUGGUCUUUGAGCAGCCCAGUUUUUGAGAAAGCAAACGCCUUUUCGAUUUCUGAGAUCGGCCCUCGUGGUCUCUGAGCAGCCCAGCUUUUGAGAAAGCAAACGCCUUUUCGAUUUCUGAGCAGACGCCUCUUCGAUUUCUGAAGCUUCAUUGAGUGCAGAUUUUUAUAAAGGCUGGUAUUAAGUUCCAAAGCACACUUGAAUCUCCACCAGUAGAAGCUCCCUUCUUGCAUUUCUAAGAUCUUGAUUUGUCCGACCUCUUUUCUCUUCAACACCUUUGAAAAUGUCUGGCCCCUCCGACCGUCGUUUUGACUUGAACCUUGUUGAAGAGGCAGCCACACCUUCUCCAGACAACAUAUGGUGCCCAUCCUUCUUAUCCCCUACUGGUCCUCUUACCGUUGGGGAUUCCGUGAUGAAGAAUGAUAUGACCGCUGCGGUGGUGGCCAGGAACCUUCUCACUCCCAAAGAUAACAGACUACUUUCCAAACGGUCUGAUGAGUUGGCUGUUAAGGAUUCUCUGGCUCUCAGUGUUCAGUGUGCAGGUUCUGUGUCUAAUAUGGCCCAACGCCUAUUUGCUCCAACCCGCCAAGUUGAAUCAUUGGCGGAUGAAGUGAUGAGUCUCAAACAGGAGAUUAGAGGGCUCAAGCAUGAGAAUAAACAGUUGCACCGGCUCGCACAUGACUAUGCUACAAACAUGAAGAGGAAGCUUGACCAGAUGAAGGAAUCUGAUGGUCAGAUUUUACAUGAUCAUCAGAGGUUUGUGGGUUUGUUCCAAAGGCAUUUAUUGCCUUCAUCUUCUGGGGCUAUACCGCGUAAUGAAGCUCCAAAUGAUCAACCUCUGAUGCCUCAUCCUUCUAGGGUGCUGUCCAGUACUGAGGCUCCGAAUGAUCCCCCUCCGGUGCCUUAUCUUUCUGGGGCUCUGCCUACUGCUGAGACUUCUCCUAAGCAACCUUUGUGAAGGCUCCCUCUUGUUUGUUUAUUUUGACUCGUGUAUAUGUACAUAUUUGUAACUUCUUAGAGAUAUCAAUAAAUAAGCUUUGUUUCAUUUCAACGUAUUGUGUUAAAUACACCAAAGCUUUUCACUAAGUUCUUUGAAUUUUUCUUUUGUUGAAGCUUGUAUGUUGAAGCUUGUAUGUUAAAGCUUUGUGAGUGGAGCAUGUAGGUUGAGGUAGUGUUCCCUUAAUUUCCCGAGUGGGGAAAACUUCUCGAUUGGAGACUUGAAAAAUCCAAGUCACUGAGUCAGGUCGGCUAUAUGAAUCUUAGAACGCCAUUAUGCUCGAUCUUGUGUCAUGUCCUCUGUUAGAUCCAAGUACUCUAAGUCUUUUCUUAGAGUCUCUUCCAAAGUUUUCCUAGGUCUUCCUCUACCCAUUCGGCCCUGAACCUCUAUCCCGUAGUCGCAUCUUCUAACCGGAGCGUCAGUAGGCCUUCUUUGCACAUGUCCAAACCACCGUAACCGAUUUUCUCUCAAUUUUCCUUCAAUUUUGGCUACUCCUACUUUACCUCGAAUAUCCUCAUUCCUAAUCUUAUCCUUUUUCUCGUGUGCCCACACAUCCAAGCCACUUAGCAUUCUCUUCAUCCAGCCGCAUCACUCUCCAUUCCCUCACUGCCCUUUUUGUGUACGUUUUUGAUUCAUUCAUUCGCUCCCAACCUUUUUGCCAUAUCAGCAUCGAAACGCCGGUUAUUUCCUUAUUGCAUCGUCCUUAUUUUAUAACUGAAGCAUUUCCAUAUAUUCCCGUUAAGCUUUCAGUGGCAUACGGCGAUCACACAACGCCAUCAUGCACACUUCCACAUCAUAUCACACUUGUAUUCUAUGGUUCUAUGGUUAGAUCUCCAUCUAAUUCUCCGUUCUUUUGCAAGAUAGAUCCUAGGUAGCGAAAACGGUGGCUCUUUGGUAUUUCCUGAUCUCCGAUCCUCACCCCUAACUCAUUUUGGCCUCCAUUUGCACUCACUGUCUUUGAUCGGCUUAGGCGAAGACCUUUAGAUUCCAACACUUCUCUCCAAAGGUUAAGCUUCGCAUUUACCCCUUCCUGAGUUUCAUCUAUCAACACUAUAUCGUCUGCGAAAAGCAUACACCAAGGAAUAUCAUCUUGAAUAUGUCCUGUUAACUCAUCCAUUACCAACGCAAAAAGGUAAGGACUUAAGGAUGAGCCUUGAUGUAAUCCUACAGUUAUGGGGAAGCUUUCGGUUUGUCCUUCAUGAGUUCUUACGGCAGUCUUUGCUCCUUCAUACAUAUCCUUUAUAGCUUGGAUAUAUGCUACUCGUACUCCUUUCUUCUCUAAAAUCCUCUAAAGAAUGUCUCUUGGGACCCUAUCAUACGCUUUUUCCAAAUCUAUAAAGACCAUGUGUAAAUCCUUUUUCCCAUCUCUAUAUCUUUCCAUCAAUCUUCGUAAGAGAUAGAUUGCCUCCAUGGUUGAGCGCCCUGGCAUGAAUCUUGUGUACUGGGCAAAUCUUGUGUGCAACCGCUUUAUCUUGUCCAUAGCCGUUCCGGGUUGUUUUGUUGGGGUUGGCUGCUAGAGCCGUUCGAGUCUUGUGACUGGUUCCGUCCCUGCUUAUUCUGACAUGGCUUAUAUCGCCUGGCUUUAACAUCUUUCCCAUUAACUGAGAAUUUGACUUUGCCUUCAUGGUCCGGUUUAUCAAGAAGUCUUGUAGCGUCUGACGCAGACUUAACAACAACUUGAGCAAACAAUGAUUGGUCAAUUGGAUGAACAGGCUUCUUCAUAAAGACUGACUCUAUACAAUCUCCAAAUUUCGUGCAUAUACGUGAUGAGUUAAAAUAGUUAAUCCAGAUAUUGUUGAAGCUGAUAAUAAUAAGUCAAUAUAUAGUAAAGCUAUAUAUAUAUCUAGACACGUAAAACUGAUCAUAAGUCAUACCACCGCAACUAAUUAUAUGUUGUGCCAUCUCUAAAUUAAUUAGCGAUUCGACAAUUUAUGGUUAGUUAAAAUGGUACAAACUAUUUAGAUUUCACAAUCGGGCAACAAUCCACUACUAAUCACAUGAUAUUAUCUCAACUUAACUGUUUAAAUCGGAUCAGAGCCCAGCAAGUGUUGGGUUUUAUCGCAAAUGACCUUGGUGCAAUUAGACGUGUAACCAAGCAAUAUAAGUUGUAAUCAAUGAAAAAAAGAAACUAGACAGAAAUACCUGUUUAAAUAGCUUUUGAGUUCUUCUUUUGAAACAGGAUGACCCUUUGAGAAUGUCAAGGAUAAGGUUCUAUCAUUGUUGUCAACAUUAGGUUGAUACUGAUCAGGCACAUCAUCAUAUGCUUCUUGGGGUGGUAAUAGAGGAGGUUGAGCCUCAAAAAUAUUAUGACCCUGCUGAUGAAGUAAAUAAUUAUGCUGAAACCCUUGUUGUAAUAUUGGAGUCAUUGGACCAUUCAACAAAUUGGUUUGCUGGAAACCACUGGGUAUAUGACCCAAAUAUGGAUAUGAUGGGACUAUAAUUAUAUCCCAAAAAGCUCUGUCGAAGACAUGGUCGAUAAAUCUCCUCAUCUCUUCCCGGGCCUUCUCCUUGUUCUCAAACACAAACUCGAGUGGAAUAUUUUUGGUAAGUAGAAGAAGACACAGUGUUCGAAACUGACUAUCAAUUUCCUCCGACGCCAGAGGAUCAGUGUAAUUUGAGCGCAGAUAGUGUAAGCACAUAAUCGACUCGCAUGCUAAAGCAUACAGGUCCGAGUCAUGUAAGGCUAACGUGGCCGCCAUAAACUUGUAGUGAGUUUGUGUGUCCAGAAAAUACCAAAAGGCUAUGACAAGCUUAGAUUGGUUAGGAUCAAAACGUAAACCCAGCAGUCGAACGUAUAUUGUGCGAUCGAUUGAAUGGAAUAGCUUUAGCUCUUCAAAGGCUCUGUAAGAUGGCAAGUCCAUGAUGAUGUAAGUGCCAGUAACUCUUGGAGCGUUUGCUUUUGAAGGGAAACUCUAUUAUGUGACCCAAUUAAAUUCUCCACGUGCUAAAGGGUUUUGCACUUUUACUAUUGUGUUAGGGUGUCAAUACCCUUUUUAUCCAAAUAUCGACAGGUAAUUCCCAAUCCUUUUUAUUUUGGUUUUUGUAUUCCUUAGUUGUUUGGAUAUUUACCAAGUUUGCAUUUAGCCUUGAGGGUGGCGAAAAUCCUUAUGCUUCUUUCUUAUUCAUUCACACAAUUAACACAAGCUCCAAUUGUCAUGGUUUUUUUAUAUGUUUGGAACUGCGAGACAUGGUGCUCUUCGAGAAACUAGCUGGAAAGAUGUAAACCGGCGUUACUAUUUUGUCCUUUUUAUUUUGAUUUUGUGUAAGAAUUACAAGAAGCUCGCUAGGAGUUUGUUGGUUUUGGAUUCUCUCAUUCUCUCUUUAGGAGAGUUCUUUUAUUUUAGUUUUCUUCUCAGUCUGCUAGAUCUCUUUUAGAUCUAUAUGUGAAGAGGUAAGGUUGUUUGAUUAGCUAGAUCUACUUCAUUUGGUAUACUAGGUUCAUGGUGGUGAUGAGGUAGUCAGGUUGCGGAAAGAGGCCUAAUCGUGGGCCCAGCGCUUAGGGGCUUAGAUAGGAGCCUAGACGGGUUUUUUAGUUUAAUAACAUUUACUAUAUAAUAUAUAAAUAAGCAUUAAAUAAUACUUAUGUCAUGAACAUAAAAUAAAGGUAAAUUAAGAAAAUUCUACAAGCAAUAAUUAUAUGGAGUCCUUACAACCUUUUCUGAAGUCUCUGGAUAGAGGUCACAACUGCAGCAACACCAGUACGGAUUGAAAGACUGGCUUAAUGAGCAAGAGUCUAUGGUUAAGGAGCCUUGCGUACGUGCACUCAAGAAAAGAGAAGACUAGCAGUAUCAGGAGAAAAUUAGGGAUAAUUCUCCCACAAAGAAGACAACCAUACCAUCCACACAAUUUAUACAUACAUUCUUCCCAAUUGCUUAGAGAGCUACUGCCCAAACACCUUGCGUUUCGCAAGUGAUCAAUCAAGUUCAACCUGGAUUGCUUGUUUUCAGUUUGACUAAUCUAUUCUACAUCGACAUUCAAUAAUCGUUCUAAGAAUUUUGGCGGUUAUAUGGAGCUUCACAUAUUAAACUCACAUUAGGUAGUUUUUGCCAAACACUUAUAGAGGGGUAAAGUCGAAUUUGUUCAAGUUCGACACGUCAUUGCAAUGGAGGAAACAAGAUUGUAGUUAGUCUUAUGAAAAGUAAAGAUCCACAGACAUAGAGCUUGUUUGGGUGUGUUUUUGAAAUGAUUGAAAGCGCUUUUGGUGAAAAUGUUUUUGGAACCAAUCUUUAGUAAAAAUGCAAGUCAAUCAUGGAAAAACAUUUAAAGUGCUUCCGGGAAGAAGCACAUAACUGGUGCUUCUUGCAGAAAGCAUUUCAAGUGCUUUUGGAAUCUAAAACAAUUUUCUCUAAAAGCACUUUCAGUCAUUUUAAAAACACAUCCAAACGAGCCUAUAAAGAAGAACAUUCAAGUUCUACAUAUAUGUUUUGGUUUAAUUUUCAUGAAAAACUUCGGAUUUCAUGGGUAUAUGUUUUGUAUGAAAACUUCGGGUUUCAAAGACACUAAAUUUGAAACUACAUAUUCGAUUUUAGAUGAACUUCAAGUUCAUAAAAGGGUACCUACAAGAACACAUAAUACAAUAUACAAUCCUAGUAUAGUAAAUUUGUAGUUGCUUCGAAAACCUAGUAUGAGUAGCUUUGAAACAACGAAAGGUGUCAACGCUUCAAAUAUAAAUAAUAAUGAAUUUAAUCGUUAAUUUACACACUUGAGAUGCUUGAGAUGCUAGCCAGGAUUUUUUUUUUUUUUUUUUUUUUUUUUUUGCGCCAAUAGAUUGAGAGACAAAACAGGAGACUGUCGUGGAAGCAUGAAAAUAUAGACAUUCAGGUCAUAUUGGUUUUGGAUGGCUGCGGGCCGAACAAUUGAGAAAUAGUGCCCAAAAAUGGGCUUAGUCGUGGGCACCUCAACAUGGUUGGGUGCGGGGUGGAAACAAAACAUGCCAAAAAUUUGGCUUGGGCAGAGGAAAGGGACAGGCCAGCAGCAUCGGGCUGAAAAAAAAAGGAAGGUGGCCCAUAAGACAGGGCGGUCCGAGAAGCAGGAGCCCAGCAUGGCAGUUGCAGGCUGCUGGGAGAAGCCCAAGAAGUUGGGUUUGGGCUCAGCUGAGGCAACAAGCCCAAACAUGGGGAUGCAGGUCGAAACACCAAACGGUGUCGUUUUGGAGCAGUGGUCAGAGCUGCAGGCUCGGCUUCAGGCCAAGCCAGGUCCGGCGGCACAGCACCAGGCCACAACUUAUCAUUUUGGUUAAAUCGAAACAACAUAAAUGUUGGAUUAAAUAAAAGAAAUAAUCCUGUUGACUGUGAGCUUAAAUUAAAAGAGUUGGCGCACUUCUAUCUUACCAAUUAAUUUUAAAACAAACUUUAAAAUACCCUUCAAAUUAUAAUACUCCCUCAUUGAAUCCCUGUCUUGCAAAACAUGCUUAAUCAUUUUCUAAACACAAUGACGAGGUGGGACUAAUGUCUGAGGACUCUUUGAGUCUCUAUCUUUCCAUGAAAUAAAUAAUAUUUCCGGUAUGUUAGGCAUGGCAUCCUUUAAUUAUUUGCAAAUUGCAAUACAUGUUUAAGACUUCAUCUUAGUAUAUCAAGGAAUAUUGCCACCUUCUUUCACGGGCAAUAUUCUUCAUGCAUGGUAUGUAGCUUUAAACUAAGUUUAACAAUCAAUUGGUGUGUUUUUAAUCAAUGACAAGAGAUGUUCGAACUUUAGACUUCUCUAGCACGAUAAAAAAAAAAUUACUAAAUCAAUAGUAGUCGACAAAUUUUGACUUGAAACAUCUUUUUAAGUUUGUUCUUUAUAAUUUCUAUUAACAAUGACGGCUCCACUGAAGGGACCUACUGAGCAACUUUUGGUCGGUGGGGAUGAUGGCCUCUACUGAGCAAUGUUUUGUCACGUACUCUUCCUAACGUAGAUUUGAAACCAACUUAGAAUGAAAUGAAUUAUACGCUUUACAAAUAAAAAAGAUUUAAGUAAAAGAGAUGUUGAGUUUUUCUUCCCUCUAUUUCUUAUUAGUGGAGCUUGCAAACUUAUGUACAUUAUAUUUUUUUUAUGUACACAAACAUAAUCUUGAAUCCGCCAAUAAUUUCUAAUGUUGUAUUUGAUAUUGAUUCAUAAAAUAGGCUUCUCAGCUUAUCUAAUGACCAAGUUUUAGAAUUCAUUUAAACCUUUAGAACAUAUCCCAACUUCAAAUCCUUUGUACCCCUAUGGUGUUUGAAAAUUCCUUUCAUCCAUUUGGCUAGAAAUUAUAUUGCUAGUGUUAUACAGUAGUAAAUACUUUAAGCUGAAAGUAGUGGUAAAUUAGCAUGCAAAUAUUUCACAUAAAAAUGCUACAAGAAGCAAAUUGUCACAUCCCGGCCCAGGGCGAACCACUUUCCGGGCCCGCUCCACCACCGUAGCACGAUAUUGUCCGCUUUGAGCCCCAACCACGCCCUCACGGUUUUGUUUAUGAGAACUCACAAGCAACUUCCCAGUGGGUCACCCAUCUUGGGAGUGCUUCGGCCUCCUUCUCGCUUAACUUCGGAGUUCCAACGGAACCCGAAGCCAGUGAGCUCCCAAAAUGCCUCGUGCUAGAUAGGGAUGUGAAUAUACAUUUAAGGAUCACUCCCUUGGGUGAUGUGGGAUGUCAUCCACCCCCUUAGGGGCCCGACGUCCUCGUCGGCACACCACGACCAGGGUUAGGCUCUGAUACCAAAUUGUCACAUCCUGGCCUGGGGCGAACCAUUUCCCGAGCCCGCUCCACCACCGUAGCACGAUAUUGUUCGCUUUGGGCCCCGACCACGCCCUCACGGUUUUGUUUAUGGGAACUCAUAAGCAACUUCCCAGUGGGUCACCCAUCUUGGGAGUGCUUCGGCCUCCUCGCUUAACUUUGGAGUUACAACGGAACCUGAAGCCAAUGAGCUCUCAAAAGGCCUCGUGCUAGGUAGGGAUGGGAAUAUACAUUUAAGGAUCACUCCCUUGGGCGAUGUGGGAUGUCACACAAAUGCAUGCUUUUCAAGUUUUGGACAAAAUGACGUGAGAGUGUUUUAAUUAUUACAUAAAAGUAAAUAAGAUGAAAAGCAAGGUCCAAAUAUGAACAAAUAAAUUCAUUCGCCACAUCAGUUGGUGUCUAAAAAUCUAGAUUUUUUUUUUAAUAAAGACAACUGGUGGAAAGCCAUGGUUACUCACCACUUUCGGGAAUCUAGAGUCUGUUUUGAUGUUUAUAAUAUUUACUCAAUAUUUUGUACAAGUCCCUUCCACGAGCACAUUGUUUUCAUUUUCAUAAGAAGCAUCUAAAGUUUAAGGGGGAAAAUGGAUGAAGACAUGGAUAAUAUUGAAUUGUUUGUGACAUAUUAACGGGAAAAAAAAUUGUCAAGUGAUGAAGUUCUUAAUCAAUGAAAAAAGUAUGAUAACAUGUACGAGAGUAUAUGUUCACAUACAAAAAUAAUAAUUUAAAUUUCUUCACUAAUGGAGGAUGGCAGACGCACGUGGUUUGUGGUCGCGUAGAAUUGAAGGAUUAUAUUUCGACCAAAAAAAAAAAGAAUUGAAGGAUUAUUUAAACCGAUGCAGUGAGUUCAUGUUGAAUAUCACACUUUGAGCUAGCUUAAUUAGUACUUGACCCUCCACCAUGGAUGAGUCCCUCUCCCACACUGAUGCACAUAUCCCAUCAGAUUCUGGUAAAAGACGCGGUGGUUGGGUCACUUUCCCGUUCAUCAUUGGUCUCUCUCUCUCUCUCUCUCUCUCUCUCUCUCUCUCUCACACACACACACACACAACACACACAUAUCCUAACUAAUCAAUUAAUCUGUAUGGUCGAUUUUCAAUUGCAUUGCCUACAUGUGUCUCAUUCUUUACGUGCAGGAUGAGAAUGGACACAGAAAUAAGACAGGUCAUAUAUUUAUGGGCUUCUUUGCGACUGCUUUUGUAAAAUAGUGAUAAACGCUUUUAACAGUGUUUGAUAGAAAUUUUGAGACACGUUUUAUAGAGAAUACUUGCUAGAUGUUUCUUCAGAUAACACUUACAAGUGACACUUGAAAUUUUAAUUAAAAUUUCAACUUUUUCUAAAAAAAGUGUUUCUAGAAAAAACACUCAUGAGUAAUUACUCCCUACAUAAAGCAGUCUCAAAUAGUUGGUUUAUUGAGCAGGGGCUUUGGGAGGCUUGACACUUGCAGCUGGGGGAUGGAUCUCAAAUUUGAUUGUAUUUCUAAUUAAAGAGUUCAAUAUAAACAGCAUUGAUGCAGCCCAGAUCGCAAACGUGGUUAACGGUUCUUUCAGUUUUUUCCCAAUCAUUGGAGCAAUCAUAGCUGACUCUUUCUUUGGCUCAUUCUCCGUUAUCUCAAUAUCGUCAUGCAUUUCCUUGCUGGUAAUAAGAUGUCAAUUUCUUUAGUACAUGCUUUCACCCUAUUUAAAACAUAGAUGAUUUCUGUGGUUAUGGAUAAUACAAUUUCUUGUCAAUUUGAUCUGAGAUCAUGAAGAUUGUUCAUCCACUGAUUAUGUGUAACUGUCGUUUCAGUAUUAAAUUCGCAAGCCAACAAUAUAUCAUGCAAGCUGAUAUAUCAUAUACGAAUGUUUACUAGAUAAUCUCCCAUACAUAUAUGAUCUAGGGUAGCAUUCUAAAUAAUUGAUAAAUUCGUUGCAGGGCAUCGUUCUCUUAGUUUUAACCGCAACGCUGAAUUCGUUGAAGCCUCAACCUUGUGCUACCGGCUCAGAGUUAUGCCAACCGACCUCGGCAUUACAGUAUGCAGUCUUGUACACCGGCGUAACUGUCGCAUCUCUUGGCUUGGGAGGUACCCGCUAUACCUUGGCAACACUGGGAGCCAAUCAAUUUGAUAAGCCUAAGCAUCAAGCAAGUUUCUUCAACUGGUUCUUCUUCACUCUAUACUCUAUUACAGUGGUAGCCCUAACAGUCAUUGUCUACAUUGAAGACAACGUCGGUUUUAAAUGGGGGUUUGGCCUUUGUGUCAUCGCCAACCUAAUCGGAAUGGCCAUUUUCUUCUCUGGAAACCGUUUCUAUAAAUUUGAUAAGCCACACGGGAGUCCAUUUGUUGGUUUAGGUCGUGUUAUUGUUGCCUCUGUUCGGAAAACUAGUCUCCAGCUAUCAUCUGAAAGAAAGGAUUAUUAUUAUGGACAUGAUGGAGUGACACAUGACGGAGUGACAAACAAGGUGGCUGCAGCAACACUUAGCAAGAGUUUCAGGUACAAACAGUAUAGGUUAAUAUAUACGCAAUUUAGAGAUAGAGAGAAAUAUGCACAAUUUCAAAAUCAAAUUAUAUGCUAGAUAGUGUUUUCUUGUCAAGCAAUUACUUAUGAGCAUUUACCUCUAGGCAAGGAGAAAGUUUGGGAUCCGACAAUCGAACCACGUAUCCUUGUGCACCCAAACACAACACCACAUACCUCAACCAUCCUAAUUUGUCAUGCUAAUCUUAUCCCAAUUUAGUCCCACCCUCUCCCUCACACCAACCCCAAUUUGGUUUCCUAACCAAGAACCUCUCCUGCACAAGAAUCAAUAUAAUCAAUAUAGUAGAUUAGUAUAACAAAAGUGCAUUUCUUAUCAUAUGUAUUUUAAUAUUAUUUUUAGUUUGUUGAUCUUUCUUUAAAUUUAGUUUUUCGUUCCUCAAACAGAAAAAAGAAAAACUUCGCCUUUGUCAAUAUGGUACAAUAGUAGAGAUUUCAUUGAAAUACAGGUUAAAUAUAAUAUGAUGGUUUUUACCACCGAUAUCUAUUGCUUUCUAAUUAUAUGUUCAAAUUCAAUCUCGGUCAUAGAGUCAAGUUAUCCAUGUGUGAGAUCAAACGGACACAUGUUAGGCAUAGAAGACUUACAUGUGAAAGGUGUGUUGAGAUUAUUGUGUCACACUAUAGGAGAUGAAAGAGCCUAACUUAGUAUAUGUGAUAAUGAGUCUCUCUACCCACUUCCAGUUUCAUUAGAGGUUAGAAUGUUCGAUCAAAUUUUAUGAAAUUUGACAUUCUUUUCAACCUAUUUUUGGUUCAAUUUGGUAAUUAUUUUUUCUGCUCUUUGCUUGCUUACCGAAGUAAAAUUGAAUUCUGGAAGCGACUAGCUGAGUUGGCUAAAACCAUUUACCAAUGAACUUGAUGUUCCUAGUACCACCCUCUCCCUCACCAUCGCUAUAGUACAAAAAAUAAAAUAAAAUAAAAUAAAGUAAAGUUGAGUUCUAUUUAAACGACAUUAAAAGACUUACUAUUUGCAUGCAGAUUCCUUAACCGUGCAGCACAGAAAAUUGAAGGAGACAUGAAAUCAGAUGGCUCAAUUGCGAAACCAUGGAGCUUAUGCACAACGCAACAGGUGGAAGAUUUCAAGACCGUUAUAAGAAUUUUUCCACUAUGGUCUACAGCUUUAUUCUUAGCUACCCCAAUAGCAAUCCAAUCCAGCAUGUCAGUCCUGCAGGCUCUAACCAUGGACCGUCACAUUGGCCCCCAUUUUACAUUGCCAUCUAGUUCUGUUAUAGUCGUUGUUUUAUUCUCCACAUCCAUUUUUCUAACCCUAAUUGAUAGGUUCUUAUGCCCCAUGUGGCAGAAGUUCACUGGUCAGUCUCUAUCGCCCCUCCAGCGUGUAGGAGUAGGACACAUCUUAACCAUUCUCAGCAUGGCUGUUUCAGCAGUGAUGGAGUCCAAAAGGCUCAAAAUAGUGCAAGAACACCACCUCCAAGACCAGCCCGGUACUAUUGUUCCAAUGUCGAUCUUUUGGCUUUUCCCACAGUUAGUUUUGGUAGGCAU
RNAcentral lists this long non-coding RNA (17689 nucleotides) under Malus domestica (apple). Its description in RNAcentral is "long non-coding RNA (MDOM_LNC002519)". Lineage: Eukaryota; Viridiplantae; Streptophyta; Magnoliopsida; Rosales; Rosaceae. The record is from RNAcentral.